Molecule: transfer RNA, 69 nt
Filed under: Yunnanilus pleurotaenia
Lineage: Eukaryota; Metazoa; Chordata; Actinopteri; Cypriniformes; Nemacheilidae
Description: tRNA-Glu
Rfam family: tRNA
About the family: Transfer RNA (tRNA) molecules are approximately 80 nucleotides in length. Their secondary structure includes four short double-helical elements and three loops (D, anti-codon, and T loops).
Source: RNAcentral
GUUCUUAUAGUUGAAUAACAACGGUGGUUCUUCAAAUCAUUGGCCUCGGUUAGAAUCCGAGUAGGAAUU